Molecule: long non-coding RNA, 247 nt
Filed under: Lathyrus oleraceus (garden pea)
Lineage: Eukaryota; Viridiplantae; Streptophyta; Magnoliopsida; Fabales; Fabaceae
Description: Pisum sativum (pea) long non-coding RNA (PSAT_LNC003176)
Source: RNAcentral
CAAGCUUGCAAGAAAUUUGGGUAAAACUGAAUAUGAGGGAGGAAAAUUAGGGAUUUGGACUCUUGAGAAAUUAUGGCAAUUAAAAAGAAAAAAUAAAAGAAAUAAAAAUAAUGUCUGCCCUUUUAAAAGAAAGAGCCCCAUUAAUGAUAAAUCAUUCCCAAGUUUUGAAAAUAGUAUCUAUUCCCUUAGCACACGCUACCUAAACUCAGCAACUGCCAUUUCCAUUCAACUUCUAAGAAAAGCUCAG